RNAcentral lists this ribosomal RNA (253 nucleotides) under uncultured bacterium. RNAcentral's name for it is "partial 16S ribosomal RNA". It matches the Rfam family "Bacterial small subunit ribosomal RNA", at positions 524 to 776 of the family's 1533-position model. The record is from RNAcentral.
UACGAAGGGGGCUAGCGUUGUUCGGAAUCACUGGGCGUAAAGGGCGCGUAGGCGGCUUUAUAAGUCGGGGGUGAAAGCCUGUGGCUCAACCACAGAAUUGCCUUCGAUACUGUAGAGCUUGAGACCGGAAGAGGUAAGUGGAACUGCGAGUGUAGAGGUGAAAUUCGUAGAUAUUCGCAAGAACACCAGUGGCGAAGGCGGCUUACUGGUCCGGUUCUGACACUGAGGCGCGAAAGCUAGGGGAGCAAACGGG